CAAGCUACUAAGGGUGAACGGUGGAUGCCUUGGCGCUGAGCGGCGAUGAAGGACGCGGCAAGCUGCGAUAAGCCUCGGGGAGCGGCAAACACGCUUUGAUCCGAGGAUUUCCGAAUGGGGAAACCCGGCGGGGGUCAUGCCCCGUCACGGCGGUCUGAAUACAUAGGGCCGUCGAGCAAACCCCGGGAAGUGAACCAUCUCAGUACCGGGAGGAAAAGAAAGAAAUUCGAUUCCGUCAGUAGCGGCGAGCGAAAGCGGAUCAGCCCAAACUCGAAGGCCUCCGGGUCUUCGGGGGUUGUGGGGCAGGGACCGGAUCAGAUCCGGGGAGUUACCAAUCGCGUGUCUAGGUGAAGGUCCUGGAACGGACGGCCACAGAGGGUGAUAGCCCCGUAGCCGAAAGACAUCGCGACUCCCGUCUCUGUACCCGAGUACCACGGGACACGUGGAAUCCCGUGGGAAUCCGGGAGGACCAUCUCCCAAGGCUAAACACGUCUCAGCGACCGAUAGUGAACCAGUACCGUGAGGGAAAGGUGAAAAGCACCCCUGUAAGGGGAGUGAAAUAGUACCUGAAACCGUUCAUCUACAAGCAGUGGAACCACCAUGGGGCAACCCGGUGGAACCGCGUGCCUUUUGCAUAAUGAGCCGGCUAGUUACCGUUCGUGGCGAGGCGAAGCAACGUGCUGAGCCGUAGCGAAAGCGAGUCUGAAUAGGGCGUCCAGUCACGGGCCGUACACGCGAAGCGGGAUGAUCUAGCCUGGGCCAGGAUGAAACGCGGGUAACACCGCGUGGAGGUCCGAACCGGUGUUUGUUGAAAAAAGCUCGGAUGAGCUCAGGCUAGGGGUGAAAGGCUAAUCAAAUUCCGUUAUAGCUCGUUCUCCUCGAAAUGCCUUUAGGGGCAGCCUCGGACGAAUACCUGCGGUGGUAAAGCUCUGGAUGGACUAGGGGCCUUACCCGGUUACUGAAUCCAACCAAACUCUGAAUGCCGCAGCGUACUAUCCGGGAGUGAGACGGCGGGGGAUAAGCUUCGUCGUCAAAAGGGAAAGAACCCAGAGCGCCAGCUAAGGUCCCUAAAUCAGUGCUCAGUGGAAAACGAUGUGGAGACGCUCCGACAGCCAGGAGGUUGGCUUAGAAGCAGCCAUCCUUUAAAGAAAGCGUAAUAGCUCACUGGUCAAGUGGCUCCGCGCGGACAAUACAACGGGGCUCAAGCACUGUACCGAAGCUGCGUAUGCACGGGGGAUGCGUCCCCCGUGCGUGGUAGAGGAGCAUUCCGUGCGCGUCGAAGGUAGACCGUAAGGACUACUGGAGCGCACAGAAGAGACCCUGCCGGCACAAGUAGCGAUAAAGCAGCUGAGAACGCUGCUCGCCGAAAGACUAAGGUUUCCUGAGCAAGGUCAAUCCGCUCAGGGUCAGUCGGGACCUAAGGCGAGGCCGAAAGGCGUAGCCGAUGGACAUCCGGUCAACAUUCCGGAACCGCUCUUCGAGCGACAAAGACCGAUGGGGUGACGCAGGAGGCUAGUUGGACCCACGCGUUGGAGUUGACGUGGGCCAAGCCCGUAGGCGGAGGGGAUAGGCAAAUCCGUUCCCUCGCUAACGCCGAGAGGUGAUGGGGUGGCCGCAAGGCCAGAAGUCGAUGAUGCCACGCUGCCUAGAAAAACCUCGUUUCGGAGCUCGGAGGGCGUCCGUACCGUAAUCCGACACAGGUAGUCAAGGAGAGAAUCCUCAGGCGCUCGAGUGAAGCGUUGCGAAGGAACUCGGCAAAUUAACACCGUAACUUCGGAAGAAGGUGUGCUUGCGUUCGUGUAGGGGCUUGCCCCCGAGGCGAUCGCGAGUUGCAAUAACCAGGCCCAGGCGACUGUUUAGCAAAAACACAGGACUCUGCAAAGUCGAAAACGACGUAUAGGGUCUGACGCCUGCCCGGUGCCGGAAGGUUAAGGAGAGGGGUUAGCCGCAAGGCGAAGCUCUGAACCGAAGCCCCGGUAAACGGCGGCCGUAACUAUAACGGUCCUAAGGUAGCGAAAUUCCUUGUCGGGUAAGUUCCGACCUGCAUGAAUGGCGUAACGAUCUGGGCACUGUCUCCGCAACGCGCUCGGCGAAUCUGUACUCCCGGUGAAGAUGCCGGGUACCCGCACGUAGACGGAAAGACCCUGUGCACCUUUACUACACCCUGGCCUUGAACUUUGGUGCUGUCUGCGCAGGAUAGG
This 2201-nucleotide ribosomal RNA is filed under the name Anaerolineae bacterium. Its description in RNAcentral is "partial 23S ribosomal RNA (partial)". It matches the Rfam family "Bacterial large subunit ribosomal RNA", at positions 4 to 2147 of the family's 2925-position model. The record is from RNAcentral. Lineage: Bacteria; Bacillati; Chloroflexota; Anaerolineae.